RNAcentral lists this ribosomal RNA (537 nucleotides) under uncultured bacterium. RNAcentral describes it as "bacterial SSU rRNA". It matches the Rfam family "Bacterial small subunit ribosomal RNA", at positions 102 to 674 of the family's 1533-position model. The record is from RNAcentral.
ACGGGUGAGUAACGCGUGGGAACCUACCUUUCGGUGCGGAAUAACUCCGGGAAACCGGAGCUAAUACCGCAUACGCCCUUCGGGGGAAAGAUUUAUCGCCGAUAGAUGGGCCCGCGUCGGAUUAGCUUGUUGGUGAGGUAACGGCUCACCAAGGCGACGAUCCGUAGCUGGUCUGAGAGGAUGAUCAGCCACACUGGGACUGAGACACGGCCCAGACUCCUACGGGAGGCAGCAGUGGGGAAUAUUGGACAAUGGGCGCAAGCCUGAUCCAGCCAUGCCGCGUGAGUGAAGAAGGCCUUAGGGUUGUAAAGCUCUUUUAGUGGGGACGAUAAUGACGGUACCCACAGAAUAAGCCCCGGCUAACUUCGUGCCAGCAGCCGCGGUAAUACGAAGGGGGCUAGCGUUGUUCGGAAUCACUGGGCGUAAAGCGCAUGCAGGCGGACUGAUCAGUCGGGGGUGAAAGCCCGGGGCUCAACCUCGGAACUGCCUUCGAUACUGUCAGUCUUGAGUCCGGGAGAGGUGAGUGGAAUUCCUAGU